RNAcentral lists this ribosomal RNA (253 nucleotides) under uncultured bacterium. RNAcentral's name for it is "partial 16S ribosomal RNA". It matches the Rfam family "Bacterial small subunit ribosomal RNA", at positions 524 to 776 of the family's 1533-position model. The record is from RNAcentral.
GACGGAGGAUGCAAGUGUUAUCCGGAAUCACUGGGCGUAAAGCGUCUGUAGGUGGUCCAAUAAGUCAACUGUUAAAUCUUGGGGCUCAACCUCAAACUCGCAGUCGAAACUAUUAGACUAGAGUAUAGUAGAGGUAAAGGGAAUUUCCAGUGGAGCGGUGAAAUGCGUAGAUAUUGGAAAGAACACCGAUGGCGAAGGCACUUUACUGGGCUAUUACUAACACUCAGAGACGAAAGCUAGGGUAGCAAUUGGG